This 426-nucleotide ribosomal RNA is filed under the name uncultured Azovibrio sp. RNAcentral's name for it is "bacterial SSU rRNA". It matches the Rfam family "Bacterial small subunit ribosomal RNA", at positions 356 to 774 of the family's 1533-position model. The record is from RNAcentral. Lineage: Bacteria; Pseudomonadati; Pseudomonadota; Betaproteobacteria; Rhodocyclales; Rhodocyclaceae.
UGGGCAUUUUGGGCCAUGGGGGGAUACCCGGAUCCACCCAGCCCCCUGGGGUGAAGAAGCCCUCCGGCUGGUAAACCCCUUCCGCCCGGGAAGAAAUCUGCCAGCCAAAUACCCUUAAGGAAGAACGUCCCGGGAGUAAGCAGCACCGCAUAACUACGUGCCAGCAGCCGCGGUAAUACGUAGGGUGCGGCGUUAAUCGGAAUUACUGGGCGUAAAGCGUGCGCAGGCGGUUUUGUAAGACAGGCGUGAAAUCCCCGGGCUCAACCUGGGAACUGCGCUUGUGACUGCAAGACUAGAGUACGGCAGAGGGGGGUGGAAUUCCACGUGUAGCAGUGAAAUGCGUAGAGAUGUGGAGGAACACCAAUGGCGAAGGCAGCCCCCUGGGUCGAUACUGACGCUCAUGCACGAAAGCGUGGGGAGCAAACA